Molecule: ribosomal RNA, 258 nt
Filed under: uncultured bacterium
Lineage: Bacteria
Description: partial 16S ribosomal RNA
Rfam family: Bacterial small subunit ribosomal RNA
Source: RNAcentral
GUCCACACAGUAAACGAUGAUAACUAGCUGUUGGCGAUAGGCUGUCAGUGGCUAAGCGAAAGCGAUAAGUUAUCCACCUGGGGAGUACGACCGCAAGGUUGAAACUCAAAGGAAUUGACGGGGGCCCGCACAAGCGGAGGAACAUGUGGUUUAAUUCGAUGAUACGCGAGGAACCUUACCCGGGCUCGAACGGUGAGUGAAUAAUCAAGAGAUUGAUUAGUCCUUGGGACACUUAUCGAGGUGCUGCAUGGUUGUCGU